RNAcentral lists this long non-coding RNA (1143 nucleotides) under Sparus aurata (gilthead seabream). RNAcentral's name for it is "lncRNA (ENSSAUG00010013177.1)". Lineage: Eukaryota; Metazoa; Chordata; Actinopteri; Spariformes; Sparidae. The record is from RNAcentral.
AUGACAGGAAUAAAAGAGGAUUCAUGUUUGAAUACUUUAAAGUAUUUUCAUGUCACAGAAAAUGUGGGUGUUGACAUAAUGCACGAUGUUCUUGAGGGAGUUGCACCUUUAGAGGUAAAACUUUUACUCCGACACUACAUUUAUAAUGAAAAAAUGUUGUGCCUGGAACAGUUAAAUGAAAGAAUAAUUAACUUUGACUAUGGGUAUUCAAAUGAAAAAAACAAACCCAGCAUCAUCCUAAAUUUGAGGACAUUUGAGACUGCUGUCAGACAGACUGCAGCACAAAUGUGGUGUCUUAUACAGAACCUACCUUUUCUUCUUGGAGACUUGGUUAAUCCAGAGAGUCUACACUGGCAACUGUUUAUAUUGUUACGUGAAAUAUGCAGCAUCAUUUUUGUUCCCGUUGUAAGCACAGGUCUUGCUGUAUAUUUAAAACAGCUCAUCAUAGACCACCAUAGGCUGUUCAAAGAACUCUAUCCAGGAAAAAAACUCAUCCCUAAACACCAUUUUAUGGUCCACUACCCUAGUAUGAUGGUCCAAUUUGGGCCAUUGUCCAGAUUUUGGUGCAUGAGGUUCGAGGCGAAGCACAACCCACUCAAAAGACAGGCACAUGUUGUGUGCAAUUUUAAAAAUGUGUCAAAGACUCUGGCGUACAAAAACCAGGUUCAACAAAUGCAUCGUUGGAGGUUUGGCCAACCACUUGGCAACAAAAUGUGUGUUCCAAAUGCAUUUCCAGUUAUUCUGAGAUCUUUACCCAAAGGUGAACAACUGAUUGAUAACCUGAGGUUAAUGCUUGAUUGUGACUUUUCAGAGAGUAUGUGUGUUUCUCAUAGCGUUAGUAUGUGGGGACAGACAUACAGGACAGGGACUGUUGUUGUAACAGAAAUGAAAUAUGACGACCCAGUCGUUGGAGAAAUUGUUCAUCUGUUCCCUCAGGUAGACAAAGGCACACUUCUAGCAUUUGUGAAUGUUGUGCAUGUUGAUUUUUUUGAUGACCAUUUCCAUGCAUUUUCUGUGGAGAAAAGUGAGGAGUUCAAAGUGGUGCGAAUUCCUCAUGAUUUGUUGGAAUUUCGACCACUUGAUUUUCAGAAACCUUUCAAAGGAAACAAAGUCUAUGUUAGUCCUCGAUACAAAGUUAUUUAA